This 253-nucleotide ribosomal RNA is filed under the name uncultured bacterium. RNAcentral describes it as "partial 16S ribosomal RNA". It matches the Rfam family "Bacterial small subunit ribosomal RNA", at positions 524 to 776 of the family's 1533-position model. The record is from RNAcentral.
UACGUAGGGUGCGAGCGUUGUCCGGAAUUAUUGGGCGUAAAGGGCUCGUAGGCGGUUUGUCGCGUCGGGAGUGAAAACCCAGGGCUUAACUCUGGGCUUGCUUUCGAUACGGGCAGACUAGAGGCAUGCAGGGGAGAACGGAAUUCCUGGUGUAGCGGUGAAAUGCGCAGAUAUCAGGAGGAACACCGGUGGCGAAGGCGGAUCUCUGGGCCGAUACUGACGCUGAGGAGCGAAAGCGUGGGGAGCGAACAGG